UGGGUGGCCCUGCUCCUUCCAGAGGCCGGCUGACUGGUGGCAUCCCUGAGAGGCACCUCCCGACUGGGACUGUUUCCAUCAGCAGGAUUUUGAGCUGUAUGGAAUGCCACGCUUUUAAAAUAAUCUGUAAUUCGACACCAACAAACAGGAAAGCAAAUGUGUUUAUAAGAAGGCGAUUUAUUUUCAGGGGGAAAGAGUUUGGGGGAAGACACCGGCAGAAAAAAUGACAAAGAAAGUGAGUGGAAGUCCAGACUUCGUGAGUCAUCCUUCAAGGCCUCUGUGUGUGUUUACGGGCUGAAUCGUGUCUCCCCAGAGCUCAUACGUUGAAGCCCUACCCCUUGAGUAACUCAGAAUGAGACCUUAUUUGGAAAUGGUGUCAUGGUAGACAUGAUUGAAGAUGAGGUCAUAGUGGAGAGGGUGGCCCCUUUUCCAAUGUGAGCGGUGUCCUAAUGAGACGGGGACAUUGGGAUACAGACAUACGCACGGGGAGAAGGCCAGGUGGGGAUGGCAGUAGGACUGCUACAAACCAGGGAGGCUGGGAGGGAGGUUGCAGUCAGAUUCUCCUGUGGCUGCCUCCAAUGGGAGCGUGGCCCCGCCACACCUUGAUCUCAGACUCCUCAUCUGCAGAAUGGAUUCCUUCGGUGGUGACUUGCUGAAGCCUAGAUAAGCUGCUCGCCAUUAUUUCCUUGAUUUACCAUUCUCAUGCCCCCGCCAUAAGAAAAUGAGAUCAGCUGCCUGUGACCCGACUGACUCCUGGGACAUGCUACUUAUUUUUCUGAGGUCUUCUGAAGCAUGAAUUUUGGCAUUUUAGAACCUUGUGUCAGGAAUAAACUUAAGGGCCAAAGUUUCUGGAGUUACCUUCUUGCCCUUUGUGGCCCCCAGAACCACCCGUAUCUCUGAAUGCUGGAACAGCUCUCCAGGGUCCACAGGCUGACUGCAUGCUGCAGGUCGCUGAGGUGGGAGGCAGGACCCCACUUGCAUCAUCCAGGUACCCAUUCACCGUGGCCACCCCCACCCCAUCCUGGGCCUCAGUUGUCUCACUUGCUGUCCUUGGUCCUUGGGAUGCUUUACUUUUUUUUGUGUCAACCUGGCUAGACCACAGCUCCCAGAUAUUUAGCCAAACAUUAUCUUAGAUGUUUCUGUGAAAUAAUUUCUAGAUGAGAUUAAAAUUAAAUUUGUAGACGUGGAGUAAAGCUGCAUGCUUCCAUAAGGUAGACCGGCCACAUCUAAUCAGUGGAAGGCCAAAAUGGGAAACAUACUGAGGUCCCUUGAAGAAGAGGGAAUUCUGCCAGCAGACGACCUUUAGACUCAAACCACAACUCUUUCCUGGGUCUCCAGCCUACAGGCCUACUUUGUAGAUUUUGUACUUGUCAAGCCUCCAUGAUUACAUGAGUCACUUAUUUAAAAUAAAUCUUUCCCUUUCUCUUUUUCCCCCCUCUCUGUACAUACUCUAUUGGUUAUGUUUCUCUGGAGAACUCUGAUGACUACAGUCCUCUGUCCAGUAUUAGCAUUAUAUUGACGGACAAAGUAGAUAAAAUAGAAGUGGAGGAGUUCUCCUUUCUAUCGUGAGCUCCUCUCUUCUGUUUCUCUGCAGCCCAUUUUGAUUUGUUCCUUCCUGAAAGUACUCUGCCAGGGCUCUGUUGAGCUCCCUUUAAAAACAUAAACUUAGCAACUACUAUGUGCAGAGCACUGGCUU
Molecule: long non-coding RNA, 1696 nt
Filed under: Mustela putorius furo (domestic ferret)
Lineage: Eukaryota; Metazoa; Chordata; Mammalia; Carnivora; Mustelidae
Description: lncRNA (ENSMPUG00000031822.1)
Source: RNAcentral